Hordeum vulgare subsp. vulgare (domesticated barley) is the source of this 3581-nucleotide RNA transcript. It is a transcript of the gene named pentatricopeptide repeat-containing protein At4g14820-like, with no coding region annotated. Lineage: Eukaryota; Viridiplantae; Streptophyta; Magnoliopsida; Poales; Poaceae. The record is from RefSeq and is a predicted model, not a curated record. The transcript is spliced from 3 exons.
AUGGAGACGCGAGCGCCGCACCUCGAGGGCCGAUCCUGCCACCAUAAGCAGGUGCACGCUCACCUCCUCCGCCGCGGCCACCCCUUCCCGCAGGCGGACUACGCCGAACCUGACCGCGCCUACCUCUCCGUUCUGCGCGCCGCCACCGUCACGCCAGUCCUCGCGCUCGCCGCUUGCGCGUGCCUCCACCGCGCCGGCCUGCCAGCGCCGGGGCGCCACGCGCUCCCUGCCCUGCUCCGCGCCGCCGCCCGCGCGCGCUGCGCGGACUCUGUGGGGCAGGCGCAUGCCCUCGCCGUACGGGUCGGGGCCGAGGAUGAUGGGUUCAUCGGGACCGCGCUGGUUGGCGCGUACGCGGCGUGCCGGCGCGUGGCCGACGCCCGCAGGAUGUUCGAAGUAAUGCCGGAUCGGGAUCUCGUCGCCUGGGGCGUCAUGCUUGACAGUUAUUGUCAGACCCGAGACUACAGAGAAGCAUUGCUUCUACUCAAUAAGCUGAAGAGAUCAAGAAUUGUGCCUGACCAAGUCAUCCUUGCUACCAUUCUAUCAGCUUGUGGUCUUACACGGCAUUUAAGAUCCGGAAAAGCCAUCCACUCAUACAUACUGGUCUCGGACAUUUUUAUUGAUGCCCGCCUAAGUAGUGCCCUCUUAAACAUGUAUGCUACUUGUGCGGAUAUGGAGAUGGCCAAGAAGCUAUACAGCAGGAUGCAAAGGAAAGACUUGAUAUCAUCAACUGUCAUGGUCUGUGGAUAUGCUAAGAAUGGAAAAAUCAAGAUUGCUCGCUCCAUAUUCAACUGUAUGAUGGAGAAGGAUGUGGUAUCUUGGAGUGCUAUGAUAUCAGGAUAUGCUGAAAAUAACCAACCAAGUGAAGCGUUGAUUUUGUUCAAAGAUAUGCAAGAGUGUGGUGUCUGUCCUGAUGAAAUUACCCUAUUGAGCGUCAUAUCUGCAUGUGCUAAUAUAUGUUCCCUUGACAAAGCUAGAUGGAUCCAUUCGUUUGUUGUGAAUAAUGGGUUUUGUAAGAUAUUGUCCAUUUGCAAUGCUCUUAUUAAUAUGUUCUCAAAAUGUGGAAGUUUGACUCUUGCCUUGAACGUGUUCAAUGCAAUGCCUCGAAAGAAUGUUAUCACCUGGACAAGUAUGAUUUCUGCCUUUGCUAUGCAUGGUGAUGGCAAAUCUGCCUUAGCCCUUUUUGACAAGAUGAAAAGUGAAGGGGUUGAACCCAAUGGCGUGACAUUUCUUGGUUUGUUGUUUGCCUGUUGUCAUGCUGGUUUAGUUGAUGAAGGCCGUUCCUUGUUUGAAUGCAUGGUCCAGGAAUACAGGAUUGAACCCAAGCACGAGCAUUAUGGCUGUAUGGUGGAUCUUAUGGGAAAGGCUAAACUUCUGCAGGAAGCAGUUGAUCUCAUAAAGUCAAUGCAUGUAAGACCCAAUGUGGCUGUUUGGGGAUCUCUGUUAGCAGCCUGUUGGAUGCAUGGUGAUCUUGAGCUCGGUGCAUUUUCUGCGAGGAAAAUUUUGGAGUUGGAUCCCAAUCACAAUGGAGCAUACGUGUUUUUAUCGAACAUGCACGCAAAAUCUGGUAACUGGAACAAUGCUCGAGAGGUGAGGGGGGUAACGGGAGGCCAUAGGGUUUCAGAAGAAACAGGCUGCAGUCGGGUAGAGCUGAAUGGGUUUGUGCACGAUUUUGGAGAUGGAGGUGAGAAACAUCAGGAAAAUCAUAGGACCCUUCUAAAGCUUAGUGGGAUAAUUUCUAAUUGAUGAUUCAUGGCUGUGCUAUUCUGCUGCUCAGCGAGAAUCUCCCUUUAUGUUAGCCUGGUAGAUUUCUGAAAGGGGAUCUUCAUUUUGCAUAUCUAUAUUUUAUAGACUUACAGGUGGUCAGUGGGCAACAAUGAUCUCAUAUUUAUGGCUGCAUCAGCUGUAGGAAUUCGUUAUUUAAUCAAAUCUGAACAACAAGUCAGCUGGCUAAUUUUGUUUUUUCAUGGAUUGAGCUAUCAUAUUUUCCUCCUGCCAUAUAUUCAGAUGAGAUAAUUGGUGUGGUUCCGCGCGAAAAAACUCCCUCUGUCAGGCUGAAGAUAGUCCACUGUGCAGUAGAAGCUGCAAUUUAUGUGUGUGUAUCGUCGUUGGUAAUGGGUCUUUCAGUUGUGUGAGCUGCCAGAACCUUUCUUAAGAACAUUGAAUCCAGAAGCACGGGUAUUUCACGGGACAGCAGUAGUCGGACAACAUUCCACAGCUCUCCACCGUUGUAACAUAUUCUGGCAACACCUCACUUCUAAAAAUCAUGGGCUUAUUCAGGAUUAUUGGGUGAGAAAAGUAGCAAACAGAUUGCCCUUGGGGUGUGUCGCCGACCUGGCGAGUUCUUGUGCAAGGAAGAGAUGCCCUCAAGUUGGGUUUAGUAAGAAGAGUUGGUAAUGGAUGCACAACCGAAGUUUGUCAUGAUAAAUGGAUUGUGCGGAAGCAUCUCUGAAACCUACGAGGUGUUUAACUGAAACACCGGUUCAGUUUGUUUCUGAUUUGAUAGAGGAAGGGUCAAAUCAAUGGAAUGAACAGCUAGUACGAGAGGUAUCUAUGCCUCCUCAUGCUGAUCUCAUUCUCCCAACUACCAUGACCGCUGCGAGACAUUGAUGAUUUUCGGGCAUGGGUGUGGGAAAAAUCUGGUAUUUUCUCAGUGAGACCAGUGUCCGACAACUGUUGGAUAAUGAACAGCGUGAACAACGGCCGUCCAGUUCGUCAUGUGGGGAAGAUGUUUGGAGUGCUGACUGUGGUAAUGACAAUGAGCUCUGUUCCAUUCUCUGGUUAGGGGGUGCUCAUGCCAAGCUGUUUUGGAAUGCAGCGUUAGAGUUUUUCGAUUUAAAGCCCCCGCAUCUGCACCCAGUCAUUUAGGCCAAGGAUAUUUUGGACUUGGGCAAUGGUUAAUAAGAAGGAUGCAGCGGUUAUUGUCUCUGUUAUGUGGGCGAUUUGGAGCGGCUGGAAUAACUACACGCAUGAGGCGGUUCAUUAUCAACCGCUGCGAUCCAUGCAUCUGGUGGAGGAAUUCGUGAAGGCUCUGGAAGUGCCGCAGCAGGAGAAAAUAGUGAUGGAAGAUCGGAGAGAGAGCUGGAGGCCUUCUAUUUACAGUGGGCUAAAAUCAAUACUGAUGGUUCCCUGGACGCUGAGCGUGGUGUGGCUGGAGCAGGUUUCAUGGCACGCAAUCAUGAGGGAGUGUUUGUAGCAGCAAGGCUGAGGUAAUAUAACAAUAUCAGGGACCCCUUUCACCAUUGCCGUGAUGCUUGCUCUGGGACAGGGUUUCUGAACGUGCAGAUUGAGACUGACUGCCUUGCUGUUUUAACGAUGUGGCAGCAGGGUCAGAAAUCUGAGGUCAUUCUAUUGAUCCAAGAUAUGGAGGAGUAUGCUGAGGCUUUUCAGGAGCUUGAGCCGAUCUUUGUGAGGAGAGAAGCAAAUCAAGCGGCACACACCCAUGCAAAAGAACUUCUGAGUAUUGAGUCUGUGUCUGUAGACUCUGAUGUAGCUCCUGGCUUUCUGAAUGACAUUGUAAUUUGUAAAUGCAGAACUCAUUUUGACAGAGAGGAAUAACAUGCCCAUGGCGAUUAUUUCAAAAA